Molecule: long non-coding RNA, 1170 nt
Organism: Harmonia axyridis
Lineage: Eukaryota; Metazoa; Arthropoda; Insecta; Coleoptera; Coccinellidae
Exons: 2
Source: RefSeq, a predicted model, not a curated record
CUCCUAAAAUAAUAGGAAAAAAAAUAUUACUCAAAGGCUAAAAUUAUAGUGUACAGUUAUUACUCUUAGGCUAAAAUGAGUGAACUCUCGUGUUACGAAUUGAUUCCAAGAAAAGAAAUCAUAACUUACUGAUUUAAUUAUUUACCCUGUUCACUUUUAUUGUAAGAAAUCAUAACAAUCAUUGCUUUGAACAUGAAACACGCCACCAUAGAUAAAUACAAAAGUAGGACCCCUUAUAUAUGCACGCCACUGAUUCUAAGAGUCUCUUCUUUCAGUUUUCAGCUAUAUUCACUCUGAAGGGCACAGACAGAAUACUAAUUUUGCUAAUUAAUAAAAAGUGCUUUUAAAUAUAAAUAUUUUGAGUGUGUCUAACCUAUUAUACUUACACAUUAUGAAUAAUGUUAGAGUAAUAAGAUAAUAAAGUGUUUUACUCACAGUGCAAAUAGGUCUAUGCUGUCAUAUCCAAUGAUUUCCUUCGUUGAUCUAUGGUCGAUUGAUGUCGAUAAAUAAUAAUUAUAGGAUUAAGGUUAUGUUGUUUUCUGUAAAAAGUAUUUAUCCCUAUAUUUAUGAAGUGUGAAUAUAUUUUGAGCGAGUUUUACUGAAGAAGAGUUUUAGAAUAAUCAAGUGAUGCCUGUUGAAACUAUUCAGUAUUCAGAAAAAUAUUUUGACGAUACAUAUGAAUAUAGGCAUGUAAUACUUCCUCCAGAUUUAGCCAAAUUGGUUCCAAGACCACAUUUGAUGACAGAAACAGAAUGGAGAAAUCUUGGAGUUCAACAAAGUCCUAAUUGGGUGCACUAUAUGUUACAUACACCAGAACCUCAUGUCUUAUUAUUCCGGAGAAAGUUAAAUCAACCUCAACCUUUAUAACAAAAUCAAUUUUGAGUAAUUUUUCAGGUUAUUUAGAGUAUUCUACAAAGUAUAAGAUCGCUUAUGCUGGUUGUAGAUGAUUUCAUUAUUAAAAUGAAUGAAACAAAAAAAAAAUAUAACUAUAUAACUAUUUAUAUCUGUAAAUUUCGUCUUUUCACACUUUGUUACCUCUCAAAAGGAAUAAAAUGACCAUCAUCAAAGUAAUGAAAUUAUGUAUAGAAUUGAGUCAUAAACAUGUUUUUUUAUCGAGAAUAAAUUAUUUAUUAUAUAAUUAUCCUAAUAAAUAAAUGAAAUAAAUUUGAA